UGUGUGCAUCCUGUGCCCAUGGAGCAGGUAUCACCUACUAAGAGCUAGGUGCCCUUCAUGGCGUCGUGGACUUGUUUUCUUUCCUUUUUUGAGCAUGAUGGUUCUGCAGGUGCAUUUUAAGUAACUGUGAACUCUGCUGAGACGACAGGUGUCCUAGAGAGAGCCCAGCUGCACCCUUUUUGUUCAGGCUGUUCUAUUCUCUCCUGAGAUUAAAAGGGACUUGAAAAACCCAGAAGUACAACUUGCACUUUCAGGCUGCUGUUCCAGCCUGUCAAGUGGGUAUCAUGCAGUGUGACCACCAUUGGGGCAGGAGGGAAGUAGCUGAGAAAUUCAUCUGCCUACAUGAAGUAGCAUGUCUUGAAAAUGGUCAUAGCCAUGAUAUAAUUAGCAAGGUCAUAGAAUCCUAGAAUCACCAAGGUUGGAAAAGACCUACAAGAUCAUCCAGUCCAACCGUCCACCUGUCACCAACAGUUCUCACUAACCUGUGUCCCUCAACACGAUGCCUAAAUGUUCCUCAGGAGCAUGCAGUGUUUCAGAAUGACAGAAGGUCUGGAGCCAGAACCCACCCCUUCCCAGCCCUCAUUGAAGGGCUGGCAGUGGAGGCAAGGGGAUCUCACUGGAGAUCCCUGCCUACCUGAGUCCUUCUGAAGGUAAGCAGCUCCUUGCCUUGAUUUCUGUGCCCACGGCUGUUGCCUCUGAGCAAAUCCUCCCUUGCUGCAGCCUUGGACCUUGCUCCUCUGCUGUCAUGGCUGUGCUUUCCAUCGCGCCUGGCCUCAUUGGGCUCAACCCCGCUGACGGAUAGAUGUGUUGGUUUGGUUGGGGUGGUUGCAGUAGCUAAUGGCAAAACCCUUUCCUGAGUGCAACUAAAGAGAUAAGUGAGAAAACAAGAGAGUCUCGAGAGGAAAGAGUGACUGAUGGCAGUGCUGUCCUGGAAGCUACAGUGGAAGCAGUAGAGAGGCCGAUAGUGGCUGUUGGUGUCAGUAGAGCGAUACGAGUCUGUGUGUAAAUGGUGGUUCUUAGAGCUGUGUUAAUUCCUUGAAGAGGCCUAGCAUUGUGGAGGUACUUGUACUGACAGUUGUUUGACUCAGGAAUGAAGUGUGUUUCCCAGUUCGUGAUAACCUGAUAGCGUUGUGUUUGCUCGUGCAGCUGUGCUCUGUGCAUUGUAGAGCUGUCAGACAGAUGUGGGUUCACUUGCCACUCUCUCAGCAGGAAUGAGACUAGUAAUACUUUCUGUAAGUGCAUUUCAGUUGAAAAAAUGAUUUUGUUUUGGCUGUAGAAAUGCUGUAUUUGAGGGAUUUUGGUGGACGUGGGCUAACAGGACAAGGAUUCUAUUGGCAACUGCUUUCUGUGACAUGGAAAGGGUAUACUUUGUUUUAGGGAUGGAGCAUGGGAUUCGAUUGACUCUUACUGAGAAAGGGGGAAGUGGAAAGCCUCUGUGGGUAAGAACGUUUUGUGAGCUGUAGUUUGGGUACCUUCAUCUAAGUAGGACUGUAUGAAAGGGUGCGUGUGAUGGAGGAGAGGGGAAAGUGCCUUGUGUGGACUGUAAGGAAGGCAUAAUGUUACAGAGUGGAGAGGCAAAUUUAAGAAACUCUGCUUGAAAACUUGAAGGUAGUGGCUGGCUGUGCUGAAAUCUUCUUCCAAAGAGUUGCUCUUCAAGUAUUUCCUGCUUUCUCUCUGCGAGAAACUGACGCCAGUGGCCUUCCACUGCAGCGUGGCCGUGCGGAAGGGCUGGGGAACAAGACAGAGCUAGAGAAGGCACCAAAGAGAGCUACAGGUACACAGCAGGCACCUGGACUUGAUGCAUUGUCUUUCUGCCCAGGCUUUCUGUUUGUUCAUUCCUAGGACAGUUGUCUGCAGUUUGCAUCCCAGCUUUCUCCCAAGCCCUGGCUGCACAAAAAUGCAAGCAAUCAGAGGAAGAGAAGGAAAAAGCAGAGGAGUGGGCUUCUGAGAAAAGAGCUGAGGGGGAGCAUGAGGAGCUUGAGGCAGUGUUUCAGAAAAGUAGUGCUUUCACUUAGGAUUGUCUGAGAUUUCCUUGCCCUGGGUUAUGAUUGUGUGUAGCUAUUGGUUUCUUGGUGCCUGUGUAUCCGUUGGUACACAGAUCAGUGUGUGGAAAAGACAGCUGAGAGUGCAGGACAUGGCAAUGUAUUUCUCCUGGCCAAAUGUGCUGAGGUACUGGAAGGAUUGUGAGAAAGACCAGAGAGAAUGGUUUCAAGCUACGGCAGGAGAGAUUCAGGCUGGACAUGAGGAAGUAUUACUUUUCGGAAAGGGUGGUCAGGCACUGGAAUGGAUGCCCAGGGAGGUGGUGGUGUCACUGACCCUGGGGGUGUUGAAGGAAAGACUGGACGUUGUGUUGAGGGACAUGAUUUAGUGGGAGCUGUUGGUAAGAGGUGAACGGUUGGACUGGAUGAUCUUUUAGGUCUUUUCCAACCUUGGUGAUUCUAUGAUUCUAUGAAAGAGAAGAGAACCUGGAUUUCUCUUGCGCAACAAGUCUGUAUCAGUUCUGUCUCCUUUCACUGAGCUGAACGCACGGUUUGUGUGAAGCCUUCUGAUGGGAAACCCAUGGUCUCCACAAAGUGGGCGCAGAAGCAAAAUGAAGCUGAGAUGCAUCUGUGUGCUGAGUCCUACUGCUACUGCAGAAAAAGCAGCUUUGGUAAGAAUAGUGGUGAAGGUAGGAGAGGAUAUGGAAGGUUUAGACUGCUCUUAGAGGCAAGGUGGAAGUUUCAAAUGUUGUGCAGGUUCAGCAUGCUCCUACUGCUUUGGUGUGCCGCACCUGCCUGCCCUGUCAGCACUACGUCAGGCUUUUUUUUCCUUUUUAAGGUAGGAAAACCAAUUUCUGGCUAGGAGAAGAAGAAAUGCAACAAUCUUCCCUGCAUUGCUCCUUGGGUAAUGGGUGCUGAUGAGCAGUCCUUGUAUUAGAAUAAUGUAUUGUAAUUUGAUCUUUCUGUCUUUGCACUCUUUUAGCAACUGGGGUGUUGAUGCAGCUGCACGUAUCUCCUGUUUUGUCCUUCUGCUUUGUGUAAAAGAAAUGUCCACUAUGCAAUCUCUGUGUGAAAUUUUCUUGAAGUAUUUUACUUUAUUUGCCACUAGGAAGCAAUGGCUUGGAAGUGACGGCGGCGUCACCCAGCAGCCCACACAGUGACCUGAUGUCUCAUUGCUUGGGUCUGUUAAAAACCACCCUGAUGAGAAAAGAACGUUUGCACGGAUUCUGUGCUGACUGUGUCAGUACAGCCCUGAGGAGUGGUGUGGACAUGGCAUGGCAGGGAGAAGGCAGUUCCCUUCUGAUGGGAAAGUGCCCGAGGAAUGUUGACAUCCCGUGUGUUGGUGCCCCAUGCCCGCUCCAUGCCCGUGCCCCAUGCACUUCUGAACAGGCAGCUCAGCUUUUGUGUCAUUCAGCCACCUGUGGCAAAACAGACCAGGCUUUCUGCAGACGUGGAUAAUCGUCCCAUCACUUUCUGCCUUAAAAGGAGUAGAAAACCUUUUCAUUUUGGAGUCCUACUUACUGGAGCUUAACCAUCUCCAGUGAAGCAGAUGUCAUUUUUCUUGUAUCUUUCAAUUCUGAGUCCAUGUUCUCCCAAAAGCAAAAGAGUUUGGAGGUAACCAUGAACAGUUAAGUGAGUGAUUUCAGUAUUUAUUUCUGAUCGUGACAAUUACUUCAGUUUAGAGGUCACAAUUAAUGUACUGUGCCUGUUUUAAUUCUGACCAAGGUUGUAGUUGUAGCUGACUUCCCAAGGCUGCAAUACGUGGUGACAAAGCCGUGGGCUUCUGCAUUGGCAUUAAUCCCACGUUUCCUUUCUGUGCCUUGCAGGUCAGCUUGUGCUGGAAGUGGAUGGCAUCAGAGUGUGAGUGAAGCCUGUCCAGGUCUCGCUGAAUGGCAGCACAGCCUUCAGGCUGUCAGCCAAUCCUCCCAACUUCGUAUCAUCAGCAAACUUGCUGAGAGUGGCCACCAUUGCCUCAUCAAUGUCAUUGAUGAAGAUAUUGAACAAGACCGGACCCAGCACCAACCCCUGAGGAACACCGCUGCUUACAGGCCUCCAGCCAGACUGCACCACCAACGACGACCCUCUGUGCUCUGCCAGUCAGCCAGUUCUCAACCCACCUCACUGUCCACUCAUCUAUCCCACACUUCCUCAACUUUGUUGUAAGGAUGUCAUGGGGGACAGUAUCAAAUGCCUUGCUGAAAUCAAGGUAGACUACAUCCACUGCUCUCCCCCCAUCCACCCAGCCAGAGACAUCAUAGAAGACUACCAGGUUGGUCAAGCACGACCUCCCCCUGGUGAACCCGCGCUGACUACUCUUGAUAACCUACUUUUCUUCCAGUUGUCUGGAGGUGGCAUCCAGCAGAUCUGUUCCAUCACCUCUCCAGGGACAGAGGGAUCCUUUCCAAAAGGAGAUUUUUGGGAUUGAGGCAGUUGAAGAAAGAGUGAAGCCAGGGGCAGUCCCUGUGGAGAGGACCCCAGGAACUGAGAUUCCCCACCACUGUCUCAGCAAGGAGACAGACGCAGUUCCCAUUCCUGCUCUGCACGUGGAAAGGUAUGGCUGGGUUUCUUUGUUUGGGUUUUCUUCCUUUCUCUCACUUCGAAGGGGAAAAGUUGGAGCAGGGGGAGCCUUACUGGUACUUUGUUACUUGUGUAACUGGUUGGAUUCUGCAUGUGCUGCAACAGGACAGCAGAGCAAGGCUCCUUAACCUUCUGGGGCAGGGUGGGAGCAGAGAGUGGGCACAGCCCUCCUGCCAGCUGCACCUGGUUAUGGUUUGCCAGGCCCCUGCUGCCCUGGAUUUCACCUGAGAGGUUUGUUCUAGCUGCUUGCAGUGGUAAAAGAUAGGGAAGAAAUGGAAGUCAAGAGCUAAGGCUCUACACGGUAACUUUGCAUGGAUUGAACUGUGGCACCUGAAGACACAGGUCCAUUCCUGAAUAAUGCUGGCAUUUUGCGGGUGUGUUGGUUUAACCCCCUGAACUGAUGUCUGUGAGCACCUGUCUUCUCCACCUGAACAAUAAGAAAGCUAGAUAUGCCCAGAAAUUGCAGCAGUUGCUGUGAAUACUCUCCCAAAUGUUUGUUUCUUUUAGUGAUAACUAAUGGCUCAGCACUGUGAUCUCGUGUCUCUGGCACGAUUGGAAUGCUUCAUCUCUUUGCCGAUGUUGGGUGCCUGUUUCUAUGGACUCAUGAGCACUCACAGAGGUCACAACUGUUGCAGGGGUGGGAGCGUACCACAGCUGGUGUUUCCAGAGAGGCUCUAAAUGCCUGUAGAAAUCACAGGAAUUUCUCCUUUGCAUGUCUUUUCUUUGCUUAGCUUUUUAGUCGUUAUUGUCAUAUAUUUCUUCUUUACUUUGAGAAAUUUGGGAUGGCAGUUUCUUGUUUUUUACUUUCUUUGAAUCAACUGUUUUGCCAUGAUAUUGCAUUCUAUGUCUUGCUUUUUCAGUGCUAUUCCUUUGCUUUGCCAGCUAGUUUUUGUUGUUUUUUUUUCCCCUUUCCAUAUUCCUUUUCUUUACAGCCCCAUUUAACUAUGCUUUAUUGUUAUUUUUUAUACUUUUUGUUUCCUCUUUUCCAUUCCCGCUUUUUUUCAAAUCACUUUUCAUGGCAUUACUUAGAGUUUCUCUACUUGAAUACCUUAUAUUUUUUCUCUUCCUUUCCUUGUUGGAACCCUACCUCGUCCCCAUUGGCUGCUUCCUUCCACUUACCUUGCCUUUCCUUACCUGACGUUAGCUCCCUGGUUCUUCAUUCCCACAUCCUGGGUGUAAUUGCCUCUUUCC
Long non-coding RNA from Lagopus muta (rock ptarmigan), 5747 nucleotides. RefSeq lists it as uncharacterized. The record is from RefSeq and is a predicted model, not a curated record. The transcript has 3 exons. NCBI's taxonomy places the organism in Eukaryota, Metazoa, Chordata, Aves, Galliformes, Phasianidae.